Molecule: ribosomal RNA, 575 nt
Filed under: uncultured bacterium
Lineage: Bacteria
Description: bacterial SSU rRNA
Rfam family: Bacterial small subunit ribosomal RNA
Source: RNAcentral
CCUACGGGAGGCAGCAGUGAGGAAUAUUGCUCAAUGGACGAAAGUCUGAAGCAGCAACGCCGCGUGAGGGAUGAAGGUGCUCUGCAUUGUAAACCUCUGUAGCCGGGGACAAAAAAUAGGUUAUUACCUAUCUGAUGGUACCCGAAAAGUAAGGAUCGGCUAACUACGUGCCAGCAGCCGCGGUAAUACGUAGGAUCCAAGCGUUGUCCGGAUUUACUGGGUGUAAAGGGUGCGCAGGCGGACUUGUUAGUCAGUGGUGAAAUCUCACAGCCCAACUGUGAAACUGCCUUUGAUACUGCAAGUCUUGAAUCCAGAAGAGAGUUGUGGAAUUCCGAGUGUAGCAGUGAAAUGUGUAGAUAUUCGGAAGAACACCAGCGGCGAAGGCAGCAACUUGGUCUGGUAUUGACGCUCAGGCACGAAAGCAUGGGGAUCAAACAGGACUAGAUACCCUGGUAGUCCAUGCCCUAAACGAUGAUCACUUGAUGUCGGCCCUCAGGGUCGGUGUCGAAGCUAACGCGUUAAGUGAUCCACCUGGGGAGUACGCUCGCAAGGGUGAAACUCAAAGGAAUUGACGG